GAUGAAAACGUAGCGAAAUGCGAUACUUGGUGUGAAUUGCAGAAUCCCGUGAACCAUCGAGUCUUUGAACGCAAGUUGCGCCCGAAGCCAUUAGGCCGAGGGCACGCCUGCCUGGGCGUCACACGUCGUUGCCCCCCCAUCUACUCCUUCGGGAUUGCGGGGGGCGGAUGAUGGCCUCUCGUGCGCCUCGUCGCGCGGUUGGCCUAAAUGCCAAGUCCUCGGCGACGCACGCCACGACAAUCGGUGGUUGCGAAACCUCGGUUGCCUGUCGUGUGCGGUCGUCGCGCAUCGAGGGCUCGAAAAAAUUGCCGGGCUUCGGCUCGACUUUCAACGCGACCCCAGGUCAGGCGGGGUUACCCGCUGAAUUUAAGCAUAUCAAUAAGCGGAGGA
This 390-nucleotide unclassified non-coding RNA is filed under the name soil metagenome. RNAcentral's name for it is "partial contains 5.8S ribosomal RNA, internal transcribed spacer 2, and large subunit ribosomal RNA". The stretch from base 1 to 121 matches the Rfam family "5.8S ribosomal RNA", at positions 35 to 154 of the family's 154-position model. The record is from RNAcentral.